GACGAACGCUGGCGGCAUGUCUAACCUAUGCAAGUCGAACGGGGGACGUCUGGAGUCUUCGGACGAAAGGGUUCUUAGUGGCGAACGGGUGAGUAACGCGUGAACAACCAACCCUGUACAGGGGGAGUAACUUUGGGAAACCAGAGCUAAUACCGCAUGAGACCACGGGGCCGCAUGGUCCAGGGGUUAAAGGAGCAAUCCGGUACAGGACGGGUUCGCGUCCCAUUAGGUAGUAGGCGGGGUAACGGCCCACCUAGCCGACGAUGGGUAGCCGAGCUGAGAGGCUGAUCGGCCACACUGGGACUGAGAUACGGCCCAGACUCCUACGGGAGGCAGCAAGGAAGAAUAUUGGUCAAUGGGGGAAACCCUGAACCAGCAAUGCCGCGUGAAGGAAGAAGGCCUUCGGGUUGUAAACUUCUGUGACGGGGGACGAAGCAAGUGACGGUACCCCGAGAGGAAGCCCCGGCAAACUACGUG
RNAcentral lists this ribosomal RNA (477 nucleotides) under uncultured bacterium. RNAcentral describes it as "bacterial SSU rRNA". It matches the Rfam family "Bacterial small subunit ribosomal RNA", at positions 28 to 507 of the family's 1533-position model. The record is from RNAcentral.